RNAcentral lists this non-coding RNA (134 nucleotides) under Emiliania huxleyi. Lineage: Eukaryota; Haptophyta; Isochrysidales; Noelaerhabdaceae. The record is from RNAcentral.
CGCAGCGACGCCGCCGGCCCCGAAGGCGCCUCGUUCCUUCUCGUGCUCGACGCUCGGACGAUGCAGGAGGUCGCCCGCGUCGCCGCUCCACACACGGUGAACUUUGGCCUGCACGCGCACUGGUUCCAGCCCGG